RNAcentral lists this ribosomal RNA (253 nucleotides) under uncultured bacterium. RNAcentral describes it as "partial 16S ribosomal RNA". It matches the Rfam family "Bacterial small subunit ribosomal RNA", at positions 524 to 776 of the family's 1533-position model. The record is from RNAcentral.
UACGUAGGGAGCAAGCGUUGUCCGGAAUCAUUGGGCGUAAAGCGCGUGUAGGCGGUUCCGUAAGUCCGCUCUGAAAGCCCAGGGCUCAACCCUGGGAGGCGGGUGGAUACUACGGAACUGGAGUACGGAAGAGGAGAUUGGAAUUCCUGGUGUAGCGGUGAAAUGCGCAGAUAUCAGGAGGAACACCAACAGCGAAGGCAGAUCUCUGGGACGUUACUGACGCUGAGACGCGAAAGCGUGGGGAGCAAACAGG